This 468-nucleotide ribosomal RNA is filed under the name uncultured bacterium. Its description in RNAcentral is "partial 16S ribosomal RNA". It matches the Rfam family "Bacterial small subunit ribosomal RNA", at positions 28 to 507 of the family's 1533-position model. The record is from RNAcentral.
GACGAACGCUGGCGGCGUGCUUAACACAUGCAAGUCGAACGGAAAGGCCCUGCUUUUGUGGGGUGCUCGAGUGGCGAACGGGUGAGUAACACGUGAGUAACCUGCCCUUGACUUUGGGAUAACUUCAGGAAACUGGGGCUAAUACCGGAUAGGAGCUCCUGCUGCAUGGUGGGGGUUGAAAAGUUUCGGCGGUUGGGGAUGGACUCGCGGCUUAUCAGCUUGUUGGUGGGGUAGUGGCUUACCAAGGCUUUGACGGGUAGCCGGCCUGAGAGGGUGACCGGCCACAUUGGGACUGAGAUACGGCCCAGACUCCUACGGGAGGCAGCAGUGGGGAAUAUUGCACAAUGGGCGGAAGCCUGAUGCAGCAACGCCGCGUGCGGGAUGACGGCCUUCGGGUUGUAAACCGCUUUCGCCUGUGACGAAGCGUGAGUGACGGUAAUGGUUAAAGAAGCACCGGCUAACUACGUG